RNAcentral lists this ribosomal RNA (253 nucleotides) under uncultured bacterium. RNAcentral's name for it is "partial 16S ribosomal RNA". It matches the Rfam family "Bacterial small subunit ribosomal RNA", at positions 524 to 776 of the family's 1533-position model. The record is from RNAcentral.
UACGUAGGGAGCAAGCGUUGUCCGGAAUCAUUGGGCGUAAAGCGCGUGUAGGCGGUUACAUAAGUCUGUUGUGAAAGUCGGAGGCUCAACCUUCGAAAGCCGAUGGAUACUGUGUGACUUGAGUACGGAAGAGGAGAGUGGAAUUCCUGGUGUAGCGGUGAAAUGCGCAGAUAUCGGGAAGAACACCCGUGGCGAAGGCGGCUCUCUGGGACGGUACUGACGCUGAGACGCGAAAGCGUGGGGAGCGAACAGG